Molecule: long non-coding RNA, 709 nt
Filed under: Gallus gallus (chicken)
Lineage: Eukaryota; Metazoa; Chordata; Aves; Galliformes; Phasianidae
Source: RNAcentral
CCGCGACAAAGGUCUUUAUUCGCAGCCCCGGCGGCGGAGGGCCCCGGGCGGCCGCGCUGCGGGCGCUGGGAGGACGCGGCCCCGGCCCGGCGCGCCGUGGCGAGGAACGACACGCGGUCAGCACAGAGGAACUGGGAGAGAUCUUCGGUCUGGUGGUGCCGGUACCAGUCCUCGAUCACGUCUUCGUACUCCUCCACCAGCACGUCGCACUGCUUCUUGAGAUCCGCCACCUCGGCAGAGGUCUCGUUCCACAGCUCGUAGGGAAUGUCCAUCACCACCUUGACGCCUUUGUGCACCAGGUUGUGCAGGGUCUCAAACGUCUCCGACAUACCCUUUGCAAAUCUGUUGCUGCCGCUCCUUUCCUUGUGCAGGUUGUAGUCCAACAGCCUCUUGCAAAUGUUCUCUGUCACCUCAAUGAGCCGGAUGUCCGACUGUGUGUACUUGACGGCAGCCCCCUUCCCAUCCAAGAAGCCAUACUUGGUGUCGAUCACCUCCUUGGUCUUGCCGGUCUCUUCAAAGGCGGAUUUCAGCUCCAGUGCCACAUAUUUGCACACCUCGCACUUGCUGGGCAGCCGCACCCAGUCCGCGUCGUCGCCGCCCGCCACCGCCACCAGCAGCAGCAGCAGCAGCAGCGCGGCGGGGCCCUCCGCCGCCAUGGCUCCGCUUCCGGGCCUGCGCUCCGCCCCCGUCGCCACGGCAACGCGCCGCC